Molecule: ribosomal RNA, 424 nt
Filed under: Acanthamoeba sp. A16
Lineage: Eukaryota; Discosea; Longamoebia; Acanthamoebidae
Description: partial 18S ribosomal RNA
Rfam family: Eukaryotic small subunit ribosomal RNA
Source: RNAcentral
GGCCCAGAUCGUUUACCGUGAAAAAAUUAGAGUGUUCAAAGCGGGCAGAAACUUUUUCCUGCCACCGAAUACAUUAGCAUGGGAUAAUGGAAUAGGACCCUGACCUCCUAUUUUCAGUUGGUUUUGUUUACAGUGAGGUUCAUCAGGGUAAUGAUUAAUAGGGAUAGUUGGGGGCAUUAAUAUUUAAUUGNCNNAGGUGAAAUUCUUGGAUUUAUGAAAGAUUAACUUCUGCGAAAGCGUUUGCCAAGGAUGUUUUCAUUAAUCAAGAACGAAAGUUANGGGAUCNAANACGAUCAGAUACCGUCGUAGUCUUAACCAUAAACNAUGCCGACCAGCGAUUANGAGACGUUGAAUACAAAACACCGCUGUUAAUCCUUUUCAACGAGGGUUAAUGGNUGGNGNAUGACUCCCCUAGCUUGUGAGA